UGAACGCUGGCGGCGUGCCUAAUACAUGCAAGUCGAGCGAACAGACGAGGAGCUUGCUCCUCUGACGCUAGCGGCGGACGGGUGAGUAACACGUGGAUAACCUACCUAUAAGACUGGGAUAACUUCGGGAAACCGGAGCUAAUACCGGAUAAUAUAUUGAACCGCAUGGUUCAAUAGUGAAAGACGGUUUUGCUGUCACUUAUAGAUGGAUCCGCGCCGCAUUAGCUAGUUGGUAAGGUAACGGCUUACCAAGGCGACGAUGCGUAGCCGACCUGAGAGGGUGAUCGGCCACACUGGAACUGAGACACGGUCCAGACUCCUACGGGAGGCAGCAGUAGGGAAUCUUCCGCAAUGGGCGAAAGCCUGACGGAGCAACGCCGCGUGAGUGAUGAAGGUCUUCGGAUCGUAAAACUCUGUUAUUAGGGAAGAACAAAUGUGUAAGUAACUAUGCACGUCUUGACGGUACCUAAUCAGAAAGCCACGGCUAACUACGUG
Molecule: ribosomal RNA, 495 nt
Filed under: uncultured bacterium
Lineage: Bacteria
Description: partial 16S ribosomal RNA
Rfam family: Bacterial small subunit ribosomal RNA
Source: RNAcentral